This 2667-nucleotide long non-coding RNA is filed under the name Hordeum vulgare. RNAcentral describes it as "long non-coding RNA (HVUL_LNC016581)". The record is from RNAcentral. Lineage: Eukaryota; Viridiplantae; Streptophyta; Magnoliopsida; Poales; Poaceae.
UAAUUUUAUGAUUUGUGCCUUUUUCAGGUGUACGUUUCAUUAGUUUAUAAUAAAAGGGCCAGAAUUAUGUCAGCUGCUACUUUAUACAACAAUAUAGGUAAACGUUAGCUGCUACUUUAUUAGUCAGUGCAAUAAAAGGGCCAGAAUUAUGUCUUCUAAAUAAGGUUUUCAGAUCACAACCACAUAUGUUUAAGAAAGAAGCUCCGUUUUCUGCCAAGGAAUAAGUAUGUAACCUCUUGAUUUAAUGGGUGUGAAGAAAUUGACAAGGGGAGCAGCUGCAACUUACACCUUAUAGGGAGACUAUGUAACAAGAUGUAGUGGUCUAACUCUCAUCUCACCUGACAAAGUAAUAUUAGAAAACUUGCUUAUAGUUGUAAAACAAAGUUGAUUAGAAUACCGCAUGCCACCUAUGUUUAUAUAUAUAUAUAAGGUAUAUAUAUGUACACUGCAACUUGAGACCACAACUUUUGCUUCUCUAAUAUAUGUUCGUUGAUUACAUAAAUGGAUUUUUUUGCGGGAAUACAUCAAUGGAAUUUAAUCAUACAAUAGAAUAUAGUGCUGAGUAUAGAUAUUAUUUUGAGAAGAAGGUGUUUGAAAGUAUACAUGUUCCCUUCUGUUUAAAUAUAGUUUGAUAAGAGUAUAUAUCUACAACCGUGUCAAGGCAGUGCUUCGCAUACUCUUUCAUGUGUACCAUAUAGAUGUGGGAUAAGUUAGUGUGACUGGCUUGCAAAAUGUGUGUGCAUAAACUCCACUAAGUUUAUUUCUAGAAUUUAAUGCCUAAUAUAUUAUCUUACAGCCUGCUUGAAGCUAUAGUCUAUGACAAUUAUAUUAUCACCCAAUCACAUUUAAUCAUCAAAUGAGGAAAUUAUAAAAACAUGAGAACUAUAGAACCUAUUCAAAAGUCCCCCGGUUGUAACAUUGUUCAAAACCAUGCACACACGUAACUAAUGUUUUUAGUCUGGAAUUAUUUUUAUGAUCUCUUUAUUUUAAAUACAGAUUUUAAAAGUGACAUGUUCAAGUGGAGAUAAGUUUUAAACAAGUAUAGUUUACUAGCUAUAUAAAAUGAAACUAGCCCGUGCAGGUGCACGGGUUAACAGCUAGUAUAUUUAGUUUCUCCACUAAAUAUGGGCAUAUCUUUCAGUUUUUGCACUCAAUAUGAGUAAAUGUUAUUUUUUUCCAGUUAAAACAGAGUGUACAUGUUUCAGUUUUUAGCACUGAACAUGAUCUGUUCUUUCACCAAUACAGAGUGUAAAUGUUCACUUUGUUUCCACAUAUAUAUAUUGAGUUAAAACAAUGUGUAAAGGUUCACUUUUUCACAUACUAUGAUCUGUUCUUCUACCUGCACAGAGCAGAUUUUCCACACAAUGUAACAAAUUAAGUGUAAAUGUUCAGUCUUGUAAUGAGCACGUGUGUGGUAUUUCUGUUGGUAUGUAUGUAUCCCUGUUGUCUCGUCGUGUAUUGCAGCUACUAAUGCAGUUUUGUUAUGGUUUUUUCAACAGGGCUGGCUUUACAGACAUAAAAGGCAUGUUGUGGCAACAUCAGUACUAAGUACAGGGAAGUAGCUUUUAAUGGAUUAUUCUGGCUGUGUGAUGCAUCUCUUCUUGUUAUAUCCUAAAUCUUGCAUGUGGUUCACAACAAAUUAUGGAUUAUUAUGUAGCAUUUGUAACAUGUGAUGCAGUAACAUAUGCUAGAGUUCAAUGUUAAUACAUCAAGCAGAGCCUAAUAGAGUCCUUUUCUUUUGCGUGAUUUGCAUUUUUUAUUUGUGUUGACAGAUAGUUUAUUUUGGUUGCUUAACUCGGUAUUUUUUUGUUCAAACUUCAUGUUACUUGAGCUAACUAUAGAGAAUUAUAUCACUUAAACUAAAAAAUGGAUAAAAACUAUCCAGCUGAUUACCUUUGUUAUUCUAUCAAGAUAUUCUGUGAGGCUUUUUAUCAAGCUGCCACAUAUAAAGAAACUUGCCUCCAUGCUGCUGCGUUAUGCCAGUUUUACAAGCUAGCUAGCUAAGUGCUAGGAUCUAUAUGGGGUACUCUCAGCUAGAUAUAUCAUGGCAAGUAUAUAUGCGUUACUUUUUUAUGUGCUACUGUAUUAAACUGUGUAGUGUCCAUGCAGUGUGGCCAACUUUGCCAAACAACUAAAAGAUCUGUUUAAACCUUUUCUCGACACCUAUUUUAUUGGAAUGUUGAACUGAUAGAAAAUUAUUUCAACUAACGUCCUCUUCAUGCCUGAUAUUGAAUAGCUAUAAAGGAACCAAGUCUCGUUUCUCUGUUAUUCUUAUUCAUACAAGUUAGCAUAUUAUGAUCUAUAAAAUUAACUAGGCGCUUUUAUAUAGCCCCGACUUCUACUAUUUCAGCUUCAAUUGAAACUAUCUUUUCGAACUCAGAAGAAGCUGAGGACAGAAGGAUGGCAAAAGAAGCUUCGUUUCUCAUUGAAAUUAUCUGUGAUCAGCUAAAACUUGUGUUUCUCAUCCAAUCUAUAGAACUAUGUUGAUGUGCGAUUGUGCACUUGUUGGGUCCUUUUGUUGUGCACUUGUACUUGUAGAACUAUUUUGUUCUGCACUUGUUAAAUUAUUUUGAUGUUCAGUUGUUGGCCUUGAGCCUUGAUAUGUAGAGGAGUCGAUGGCUGAUAUACUAUGUUUCAUGUGAUGUGCUACUGAAAUAAAAUAUAUAG